Molecule: non-coding RNA, 69 nt
Organism: Actinophytocola xinjiangensis
Lineage: Bacteria; Bacillati; Actinomycetota; Actinomycetes; Pseudonocardiales; Pseudonocardiaceae
Rfam family: ASpks TB sRNA
Source: Rfam
CUUGACCGAGCCGAGCAGCAGCGGCUCGGCGCGGUCCUGACCGUAGGUGGCGAGCAGGGCCUGGGCCUC